This 223-nucleotide long non-coding RNA is filed under the name Lathyrus oleraceus (garden pea). Its description in RNAcentral is "Pisum sativum (pea) long non-coding RNA (PSAT_LNC005152)". Lineage: Eukaryota; Viridiplantae; Streptophyta; Magnoliopsida; Fabales; Fabaceae. The record is from RNAcentral.
ACAAAAACAUUGCCAUUUUUAUUGUUUUGAAAAAAGAUGAAAACAAAAAAUAGAAAGACAGGGAUCACAAAGUUUGAUUUCAAAAAAUGUCCUUCAUUAAUGAUAAUCAUUAAAACAUGAUGAGGCCCUACAAUGAAUCACUACGCCUUGGGCAGAUCGUAGGAUUUUCAUGCAAAAAUGACAAAACAACAGAAAAUUACUCUGUCAGAAGAGUAACUUGAAC